AACGAACGCUGGCGGCAGGCUUAACACAUGCAAGUCGAGCGAAGACUUCGGUCUUAGCGGCGGACGGGUGAGUAACACGUGGGAACGUACCCUUUGGUUCGGAACAACCCAGGGAAACUUGGGCUAAUACCGAAUAAGCCCUUACGGGGAAAGAUUUAUCGCCGAAGGAUCGGCCCGCGUCUGAUUAGCUAGUUGGUGAGGUAACGGCUCACCAAGGCGACGAUCAGUAGCUGGUCUGAGAGGAUGAUCAGCCUCACUGGGACUGAGACACGGCCCAGACUCCUACGGGAGGCAGCAGUGGGGAAUAUUGGACAAUGGGCGCAAGCCUGAUCCAGCCAUGCCGCGUGGGUGAUGAAGGCCCUAGGGUUGUAAAGCCCUUUCGGCGGGGAAGAUAAUGACGGUACCCGCAGAAGAAGCCCCGGCUAACUUCGUGCCAGCAGCCGCAGUAAUAC
RNAcentral lists this ribosomal RNA (452 nucleotides) under uncultured bacterium. RNAcentral's name for it is "bacterial SSU rRNA". It matches the Rfam family "Bacterial small subunit ribosomal RNA", at positions 29 to 526 of the family's 1533-position model. The record is from RNAcentral.